CAUGGACUCAUCCAAACUCUCAUUGCUCUCUCUCUGUCUCCUCAUUUGCAUUAUCUGUUCUCCCCAACACUCACUCUCAUGCGGUUCCUGCAACCACCAGAAGGGCGGAUUACCCUCAAUUAAACCCCCUGUCACCAUUCCCAAGCUUCCUGUUCCUCCGGUUACUGUUCCUAAGGUACCCGUUCCUCCAGUAACUGUCCCUAAUCUACCCGUUCCUCCUGUAACUGUUCCAAAGCUACCUAUUCCUCCGGUGACCGUACCUAAACUUCCAGUUACCGUACCUAAACUCCCAGUUCCUCCGGUGACAGUCCCUAAGCUACCCAUUCCGCCAGUGGCCAUUCCAAAGGUACCCGUUCCUCCAGUUACUGUCCCAAAGGUACCUGUUCCUCCUGUGACUGUCCCUGAGCUUCCACUUCCUCCAGUGGGCGGGCUACCCACAUUGCCACUACCACCAUUACCAGGGACUAUCCCACCAGCCACAGGAGGGAAGGAUUGUCCUCCAACCCCGGGUAGCGAGAUGCCCCCAUCAGGCAGUGGGAAGGCCACAUGUCCAAUAGACACGCUUAAGUUGGGGGCGUGUGUGGACUUGU
Molecule: long non-coding RNA, 590 nt
Filed under: Eutrema salsugineum
Lineage: Eukaryota; Viridiplantae; Streptophyta; Magnoliopsida; Brassicales; Brassicaceae
Description: long non-coding RNA (ESAL_LNC001873)
Source: RNAcentral